Molecule: ribosomal RNA, 465 nt
Filed under: Vreelandella stevensii
Lineage: Bacteria; Pseudomonadati; Pseudomonadota; Gammaproteobacteria; Oceanospirillales; Halomonadaceae
Description: partial 16S ribosomal RNA
Rfam family: Bacterial small subunit ribosomal RNA
Source: RNAcentral
CCUACGGGUGGCAGCAGUGGGGAAUAUUGGACAAUGGGCGAAAGCCUGAUCCAGCCAUGCCGCGUGUGUGAAGAAGGCCUUCGGGUUGUAAAGCACUUUCAGUGGGGAAGAAAGCCUUGGGGCUAAUACCCUCGAGGAAGGACAUCACCCACAGAAGAAGCACCGGCUAACUCCGUGCCAGCAGCCGCGGUAAUACGGAGGGUGCGAGCGUUAAUCGGAAUUACUGGGCGUAAAGCGCGCGUAGGCGGUCUGAUAAGCCGGUUGUGAAAGCCCCGGGCUCAACCUGGGAACGGCAUCCGGAACUGUCAGGCUAGAGUGCAGGAGAGGAAGGUAGAAUUCCCGGUGUAGCGGUAAAAUGCGUAGAGAUCGGGAGGAAUACCAGUGGCGAAGGCGGCCUUCUGGACUGACACUGACGCUGAGGUGCGAAAGCGUGGGUAGCAAACAGGAUUAGAUACCCGAGUAGUC